GAUGAACGCCGGCGGUGUGCCUAAUACAUGCAAGUCGAACGCGUUGGCCCAACUGAUUGAACGUGCUUGCACGGACUUGACGUUGGUUUACCAGCGAGUGGCGGACGGGUGAGUAACACGUAGGUAACCUGCCCCAAAGCGGGGGAUAACAUUUGGAAACAGAUGCUAAUACCGCAUAAUAAUUUGAAUCGCAUGAUUCAAAUUUAAAAGAUGGCUUCGGCUAUCACUUUGGGAUGGACCUGCGGCGCAUUAGCUUGUUGGUAGGGUAACGGCCUACCAAGGCUGUGAUGCGUAGCCGAGUUGAGAGACUGAUCGGCCACAAUGGAACUGAGACACGGUCCAUACUCCUACGGGAGGCAGCAGUAGGGAAUCUUCCACAAUGGGCGCAAGCCUGAUGGAGCAACACCGCGUGAGUGAAGAAGGGUUUCGGCUCGUAAAGCUCUGUUGUUAGAGAAGAACGUGCGUGAGAGCAACUGUUCACGCAGUGACGGUAUCUAACCAGAAAGUCACGGCUAACUACGUGCCAGCAGCCGCGGUAAUACGUAGGUGGCAAGCGUUAUCCGGAUUUAUUGGGCGUAAAGCGAGCGCAGGCGGUUUGAUAAGUCUGAUGUGAAAGCCUUUGGCUUAACCAAAGAAGUGCAUCGGAAACUGUCAGACUUGAGUGCAGAAGAGGACAGUGGAACUCCAUGUGUAGCGGUGGAAUGCGUAGAUAUAUGGAAGAACACCAGUGGCGAAGGCGGCUGUCUGGUCUG
RNAcentral lists this ribosomal RNA (752 nucleotides) under uncultured Bacilli bacterium. RNAcentral's name for it is "bacterial SSU rRNA". It matches the Rfam family "Bacterial small subunit ribosomal RNA", at positions 28 to 736 of the family's 1533-position model. Lineage: Bacteria; Bacillati; Bacillota; Bacilli. The record is from RNAcentral.